UUGAUUUAAAGAUGUGCUGGCACUCCUUCAUAGGUUUGCAUGUGCACUCUACAAAAUCUCCUUCUUACCCCAUUGUGCACACUCCAGUAGGCAAACAGAGGUUCACAGAGCAAUCUAUGCAAUCUUAUUUUACCUAUGUUUUAUCAAACACCAAUAGCAUGUUAGAAUGAUUUUAUAGUAAGCUUUCAAAAGCUGAAUUUUAAUA
This 205-nucleotide unclassified non-coding RNA is filed under the name uncultured Clavaria. RNAcentral describes it as "sequence contains ITS1". Lineage: Eukaryota; Fungi; Basidiomycota; Agaricomycetes; Agaricales; Clavariaceae. The record is from RNAcentral.